This 1422-nucleotide long non-coding RNA is filed under the name Parus major (Great Tit). Its description in RNAcentral is "lncRNA (ENSPMJG00000011647.1)". The record is from RNAcentral. Lineage: Eukaryota; Metazoa; Chordata; Aves; Passeriformes; Paridae.
ACCUUAUCCUUGUUUUCCCUUUAAAAGGAAAAAAAUUAAAGGUAAAAACCAUUAGGGAUUUCUCUUUAAAUCCAGCAAUCUACGCAUACUACUAAGAAUCAAUGCUCUGUAAGCUGUCUGGUGUUCUGCAAUAAAUUCUAGCUUUUAUAGACUUUUUCUGGGCCAGGUAGCUGUUAAUGCCAUAGAAAUUGAUUAUUUGUGGUGUUCUUAUCACUGCUUAAAAUAUCUAAUUGCUUUUUCUCCACAGAUUUGGAUUUGGCUUGCUUGAUGCUGGACGAUUAAUGAAGGAAGCCCUAACUGGACAAAUGUUGGUCUCCUGAGACAAUGUGUUGUUGAUAACAGAAAAAGAUUGACAAUAAGAUGUGGAUGUUCAUCUUUAAUGAACUCUAGUCACCAAGUGGAAACCAGCUAGCUUUGAUGAUGCAAAUGAACACCUUCUCAGCAAUAGCUGAAUACUUGCUCCUCAAAAUGAGCAAACCUGUUAACUGUGAAUGUGAAGAGAUGAAGCAAGCAAAAAAGAAAAAGUGUGAAGAGCUUUGCUGCCAUAUCGUCACUGUAUCAGAUAAUUUUAGGAUCAAUGAGUGAAUAGGUAUGUAAGAGAGACUGUUUUUCUACAGAGAAGGGCUAUUUCAAAGAAAGGGGGGGAAAUUAAAAGGCACAUCAGUACAUUGUCAUUAUAUGAUGAUGAUAUUAGAGAAAGAACUUCAUUUGUCUUCUUUUAAUUUUGGAUCUUUACAGUAGAAGACUACUGCAGAGAGAUCUAGGUAAUAAUAUCUUUGAUCUAAUCGAGUGCUGCAACAGUACCAGUAUUGUUGUUUUCUUGUUGGAGUUACUCAUGUAAGAGAAACCACUCUGCUGUGUAAGUUGAAGGUUCACAUUCUGUCCUUCAUUUUUGCACUUUACAUUAUAAGACUCUUUGUUUUCUGUAGAGGUAAGAUAUCAUCACCUUUGUUUAAGCAAGAAAGUGUUGAUUUUCAAAUUUCUUGAGAUUUUAAUUAUUGUGAUUAUAAUUUAAUGCUGCUGCAAUGUUUCACAGGCAGAAGUUAUAACAGUGUAAAUCACUUGGGAUAACCGGCAUAAAUUUAAGGGUUUUUUCUCUGAAUAUUCAUAGUACACUGGAAACUGGGAUGUCAGGAUUUCUCAAGAUAAGACCAUCUAUUUCUGUGUUGGCCUCCAUGGACCUACAUGCUACAUUGCCUUCCUCCCUUUUAUACUAAAGCAAGAAAAAGGUUUCCCUCACUAGCAGGGAUUCUGAGGUUGUCUUUGACAGGCACAAUUUGGUGAUUCUAGUGCUGUACAAGACUGCUGCCUCGCAGAAGAUAUGGGGGAUGUCUGGACUGUCGGCAUCAAGUGCUUGCUUUAAAUGCCAGAGGUGGAAGAGUUCUGGAAAGAGCUGAAAAAAUAAAAGUAGAGUAAUUUGCA